RNAcentral lists this ribosomal RNA (253 nucleotides) under uncultured bacterium. Its description in RNAcentral is "partial 16S ribosomal RNA". It matches the Rfam family "Bacterial small subunit ribosomal RNA", at positions 524 to 776 of the family's 1533-position model. The record is from RNAcentral.
GACAGAGGUGCCGAGCGUUAGGCGGAAUCACUGGGCUUAAAGCGUGUGUAGGCGGAUCGUUAAGUACCUUGUGAAAUCCCCCGGCUCAACCGGGGAACUGCUGGGUAUACUGGCGAUCUUGAGCAAUCUAGGGGCAGAUGGAACAAGUGGUGGAGCGGUGAAAUGCGUAGAUAUCACUUGGAACGCCAAAGGUGAAAACAGUCUGCUGGGGACUUGCUGACGCUGAGACACGAAAGCCAGGGGAGCGAACGGG